UACGUAGGGGGCGAGCGUUGUCCGGAUUUAUUGGGCGUAAAGAGCGCGUAGGCGGCUUAUCAAGUCGUGCGUGAAAUACCUCGGCUCAACCGGGGCACGUCGUGCGAUACUGGUAGGCUAGAGGCCGGUAGGGGGAAGUGGAAUUCCCGGUGUAGUGGUGGAAUGCGUAGAUAUCGGGAGGAACACCAGUGGCGAAGGCGGCUUCCUGGACCGGUCCUGACGCUGAGGCGCGACAGCGUGGGGAGCAAACAGG
RNAcentral lists this ribosomal RNA (253 nucleotides) under uncultured bacterium. Its description in RNAcentral is "partial 16S ribosomal RNA". It matches the Rfam family "Bacterial small subunit ribosomal RNA", at positions 524 to 776 of the family's 1533-position model. The record is from RNAcentral.